Sorghum bicolor (sorghum) is the source of this 107-nucleotide small nucleolar RNA. It matches the Rfam family "Plant small nucleolar RNA R71". From Rfam's summary of the family: R71 is a member of the C/D box family of snoRNAs containing the C (UGAUGA) and D (CUGA) box motifs. Multiple nearly identical copies of this snoRNA have been identified in Arabidopsis, and it is thought to function as a 2'-O-ribose methylation guide for 18S ribosomal RNA. NCBI's taxonomy places the organism in Eukaryota, Viridiplantae, Streptophyta, Magnoliopsida, Poales, Poaceae. The record is from Rfam.
AUUCCAUAAUGGGGACAUUCUAGGAUGUAGUCUUGAAAGUGCUCCCAUGCUUCUAGAACAGAUUCAUCAUGUUGUUGCGGAAAACUUGUAAUUUUCGCACGGAGAGC